This 465-nucleotide ribosomal RNA is filed under the name uncultured bacterium. Its description in RNAcentral is "partial 16S ribosomal RNA". It matches the Rfam family "Bacterial small subunit ribosomal RNA", at positions 28 to 507 of the family's 1533-position model. The record is from RNAcentral.
GACGAACGCUGGCGGCGUGCUUAACACAUGCAAGUCGAACGGAAAGGCCCUGCUUGCAGGGUACUCGAGUGGCGAACGGGUGAGUAACACGUGGGUGAUCUGCCCUGCACUUCGGGAUAAGCCUGGGAAACUGGGUCUAAUACCGGAUAGGAGCCAUUUUUAGUGUGAUGGUUGGAAAGUUUUUUCGGUGUAGGAUGAGCUCGCGGCCUAUCAGCUUGUUGGUGGGGUAAUGGCCUACCAAGGCGGCGACGGGUAGCCGGCCUGAGAGGGUGGACGGCCGCAUUGGGCCUGAGAUACGGCCCAGACUCCUAAGGGAGGCAGAAGUGGGGAAUAUUGCACAAUGGGCGCAAGCCUGAUGCAGCGACGCCGCGUGGGGGAUGACGGCCUUCGGGUUGUAAACUCCUUUCGCUAGGGACGAAGCUUUUUGUGACGGUACCUAGAUAAGAAGCACCGGCUAACUACGUG